AGCUAGCCCUGCUGCUCAAGUCGUCUGACUACUAGCUAAAAGCCUCUUUCCUCUCUUCUCAGUUUUAGAUCCAUUAUGCAGUUUUCUUGAAUAUUUGGAACCAGUGAAAUAUUUUUGGCAACCCAGCAAUAAUGCUUCAGUGAACGCAAAGAUCGACCACAUUACUCCCCCGUGGUGGUGAGGUCAAGACACUAAAGGCAGCGAGUGAGUCCUCCUCCCAAAGGUUAAAAGCAGGUCCUCUCCACACCUGGCCUUCUCUACUGACCACCUUACCAUUUCCCGUUUCGGAAAAGUUUGGGCCCUUGACCACUGAAGAGGAAAAGAUUCUAUUAUAAUAUGUCUUAGGCAGUUACUGGAUGGAAGUUGUGGAAGAACAACAGUGAAAGUCUUGGUAGCACUGUCACUUCUGGCUCACAAAAUUAACUGCAUUUGGGGCAUUAAAAAGUCAUUUUUUUCCCUUUUCCGAUGAUCUUUAUUGUCUAGUCAGAUAAUUGGAUAAAG
Molecule: long non-coding RNA, 501 nt
Filed under: Chinchilla lanigera (long-tailed chinchilla)
Lineage: Eukaryota; Metazoa; Chordata; Mammalia; Rodentia; Chinchillidae
Description: lncRNA (ENSCLAG00000028023.1)
Source: RNAcentral